RNAcentral lists this small RNA (565 nucleotides) under Pan troglodytes (chimpanzee). RNAcentral describes it as "processed transcript". Lineage: Eukaryota; Metazoa; Chordata; Mammalia; Primates; Hominidae. The record is from RNAcentral.
AUUGUGCCAAGGAGUAAAAGACAACAAUGCUGCCAGGAUGAUGCCAACACACUACCUGCCCAUCCAGGAACAAGCAAUUUACAAAUUUACAAAAAGUAGAGUUUAUGCUACAGAGAUGACAAAAACGGGAGCUGGUCAUGCCAGAAAAACCAACCAUGUGAUUUGAGGGUUGGGCCUUUGUGCCAUGUGACAUCAGCCAGGCCUAAGGGGAAUGAAUACAGCAGGGCUGGAGAUCAAGCCAAGGAGCAACGAUUCAACCAAUCAUUCCUACAUAAGGAAAAUCCAGUAAAAACUCUGGACACUCAGGCUCAGCCAAAGAACACCAGGAAAACUACUACAGUUAAGUUGGAUGUACUACUCAUUGCAUUAAGGAAUGCACGGAGAACACACACCAUGGGGAACCCUGUGGUAUCGUGGUCCCUGUCUUCCCUGAAUGGUCUCUACCAACUUCACCUCCGGUUCUAGGUGUCAUGGCUGCCCCAAGAGUCUAGAGACGACAACUUCUCCGCUUCCUCGGCGAUGGCGGCGUCCGGGAGCGGUAUGGCCCAGAAAACCUGGGAACUGG